RNAcentral lists this RNase P RNA (362 nucleotides) under Flavobacteriales bacterium. Its description in RNAcentral is "RNase P RNA component class A". It matches the Rfam family "Bacterial RNase P class A". Rfam says of the family: Ribonuclease P (RNase P) is a ubiquitous endoribonuclease, found in archaea, bacteria and eukarya as well as chloroplasts and mitochondria. Its best characterised activity is the generation of mature 5'-ends of tRNAs by cleaving the 5'-leader elements of precursor-tRNAs. Cellular RNase Ps are ribonucleoproteins. The record is from RNAcentral. Lineage: Bacteria; Pseudomonadati; Bacteroidota; Flavobacteriia; Flavobacteriales.
AGUUGAAAUUGCCUUAUCGCUUGAUAUUAAAUCAAGAGGAAAGUCUGGACAACAUAGAGCGCCAUGCUUCCUAACAGGAAGAACUUUAAGUUAGCAAGUGCCACAGAAAAAAACCGCCAUUUAUGGUAAGGGUGAAAAUGUGAGGUAAGAGCUCACGAGAUUUAGUAGUGAUAUUAAAUUUGGGUAAACCUCAUGGGUUGAAAGGUCAAAUAUACUGAGAUGUUUUCUAUAAAAACAAAAGACUGCUCGUCUUUACUCAGGGGGUAGACCGUUUGAGUUUAAUAGUGAUAUUAAACCUAGAUAAAUGAUAGGGACUUUUUUUAAGAAAAGUACAGAAUCCGGCUUAUAAAUUUUAACUAUUU